RNAcentral lists this ribosomal RNA (253 nucleotides) under uncultured bacterium. Its description in RNAcentral is "partial 16S ribosomal RNA". It matches the Rfam family "Bacterial small subunit ribosomal RNA", at positions 524 to 776 of the family's 1533-position model. The record is from RNAcentral.
UACGUAGGUGGCGAGCGUUGUCCGGAUUUACUGGGCGUAAAGAGCGCGCAGGCGGUCGAUCAAGUCGGAUGUGAAAGCCCCCGGCUCAACUGGGGAGGGUCAUUCGAUACUGGUCGACUCGAAGGCAGGAGAGGGAAGCGGAAUUCCCGGUGUAGUGGUGAAAUGCGUAGAUAUCGGGAGGAACACCAGUGGCGAAGGCGGCUUCCUGGCCUGUUCUUGACGCUGAGGCGCGAAAGCUAGGGUAGCAAACGGG